Molecule: long non-coding RNA, 261 nt
Organism: Asparagus officinalis (garden asparagus)
Lineage: Eukaryota; Viridiplantae; Streptophyta; Magnoliopsida; Asparagales; Asparagaceae
Exons: 3
Source: RefSeq, a predicted model, not a curated record
GAUCCUGUAUUCCCUGGUUCUGAUAAUCUGGAUAGCUUCAUGCAGCAGAUGUGUGACGCCAUUCGUGACGAUUCCAUGGAUGUCGAUACGAACCUUGAUACUGAGCAGGUUAAUAGCGUUGAGCCCGCCAUUCCAUGUUCAGGUAACUUGAAGAACCCAAGCAUGGAUAUUGGGGAAAAAGACUUUUCUGUUCCUUCUGCAGAUGUCGUAAUAGAGAAGCCAGUUGAGGAUGAGGCUUUUCCUGAUGUAGGUUUCGAGGAA